Molecule: non-coding RNA, 208 nt
Organism: Alligator sinensis (Chinese alligator)
Lineage: Eukaryota; Metazoa; Chordata; Crocodylia; Alligatoridae
Source: Rfam
AAGACUAUACUUUCAGGGAUCAUUUCUAUAGUUGGUGACUAGAGAAGUGUGUCUGAAAAUGAUUGGUCUCGCUAGCCAUGAGGAUGAGCCAUGGUGGUUUCCCCUGAGCAUGAGGCAGGUGGGUGGUGCUGUUGUGCAGCACUGCUUGCCAUUGAUGAGUGUUCCUGUCCCUUCAGGGGCUGGAGGGGGAGAACACGGCCUGAGUGGU